AUACGGAGGGAGCAAGCGUUAUUCGGAAUCACUGGGCGUAAAGGACGCGUAGGCGGGUUUGUAAGUCAGGUGUGAAAUCCUACAGCUCAACUGUAGAACUGCACUUGAAACUACAGACCUAGAGUAUGGAAGGGGCAGAUGGAAUUAGUGGUGUAGGGGUAAAAUCCGUAGAUAUCACUAGGAAUACCGAAAGCGAAGGCGAUCUGCUGGGACAUUACUGACGCUGAGGCGUGAAAGCGUGGGGAGCAAACAGGAUUAGAUACCCCAGUAGUCC
Molecule: ribosomal RNA, 274 nt
Filed under: uncultured bacterium
Lineage: Bacteria
Description: partial 16S ribosomal RNA
Rfam family: Bacterial small subunit ribosomal RNA
Source: RNAcentral